UACGGAGGAUCCAAGCGUUAUCCGGAUUUAUUGGGUUUAAAGGGUGCGUAGGCGGCCUAUUAAGUCAGGGGUGAAAGACGGUAGCUUAACUAUCGCAGUGCCUUUGAUACUGAUGGGCUUGAAUGUACUUGAGGUAGGCGGAAUGUGACAAGUAGCGGUGAAAUGCAUAGAUAUGUCACAGAACACCAAUUGCGAAGGCAGCUUACUAAAGUAUGAUUGACGCUGAGGCACGGAAAGCGUGGGGAUCAAACAGG
This 254-nucleotide ribosomal RNA is filed under the name uncultured bacterium. Its description in RNAcentral is "partial 16S ribosomal RNA". It matches the Rfam family "Bacterial small subunit ribosomal RNA", at positions 524 to 776 of the family's 1533-position model. The record is from RNAcentral.